Molecule: ribosomal RNA, 472 nt
Filed under: uncultured bacterium
Lineage: Bacteria
Description: partial 16S ribosomal RNA
Rfam family: Bacterial small subunit ribosomal RNA
Source: RNAcentral
AUUGAACGCUGGCGGCAGGCCUAACACAUGCAAGUCGAGCGGGGACUUCGGCCCUAGCGGCGAACGGGUGAGUAAUGCUUGGGAAUCUGCCCAGUAGUGGGGGAUAACGUCCCGAAAGGGACGCUAAUACCGCAUACGUCCUACGGGAGAAAGAGGGGGAUCUUCGGACCUCUCGCUAUUGGAUGAGCCCAAGUCGGAUUAGCUAGUUGGUAGGGUAAUGGCCUACCAAGGCGACGAUCCGUAGCUGGUCUGAGAGGAUGAUCAGCCACACUGGAACUGAGACACGGUCCAGACUCCUACGGGAGGCAGCAGUGGGGAAUAUUGGACAAUGGGCGAAAGCCUGAUCCAGCCAUGCCGCGUGUGUGAAGAAGGCCUUCGGGUUGUAAAGCACUUUAAGCGGGGAGGAAGGUUCGCGGCCUAAUACGUCGCGGAAUUGACGUUACCCGCAGAAUAAGCACCGGCUAACUCUGUG